AGUCACUGACAUUAGAUACCCGGGUAGUCCAGGGUGUAAACGCUGCAGACUUGGUGUUGGAGGCCCUUUGGGGGCAUUCAGUGCCGGAGAGAAGUUGUUAAGUCUGCUACUUGGGGAGUACGUCCGCAAGGAUGAAACUUAAAGGAAUUGGCGGGGGAGCACCGCAACGGGAGGAGCGAGCGGUUUAAUUGGAUUCAACACCGUAAACUCACCAGGGAAGACUGUUACAUGAAGGCCGAGAUGAAGACUCUGCUAGAUUUUCAG
This 264-nucleotide ribosomal RNA is filed under the name uncultured archaeon. RNAcentral describes it as "partial 16S ribosomal RNA". It matches the Rfam family "Archaeal small subunit ribosomal RNA", at positions 719 to 982 of the family's 1478-position model. The record is from RNAcentral.